RNAcentral lists this ribosomal RNA (307 nucleotides) under Drosophila mercatorum. RNAcentral's name for it is "partial 12S ribosomal RNA". Lineage: Eukaryota; Metazoa; Arthropoda; Insecta; Diptera; Drosophilidae. The record is from RNAcentral.
AAAAUUUAUUAUUAAUUUGAUUUAUAUGUAAAUUUUUGUGUGAAAUUUGAUUAAUUUUAAAAAUUAAUUAAAUUAUAAAUUAUAAUCGCAGUAAUUAAUUUUAUAAAUUAAAGAAAUUUAGAUAUAGUAAUAUUAAAGAGUAUAGAUAAAAUUGGUGCCAGCAAUCGCGGUUAUACCAAUUAUGCAAAUAAAUUUUUUUAGUAAAAGUUAAAUUUGUUUUUUUUAAAUAUAAUUAAAUUUAUUAAGUGAAAUUUUAAAUUUAAAUUUUUUAUAAAAUAAUUAAUUGAAGCUUGAAAAUUUUAAUGAA